RNAcentral lists this unclassified non-coding RNA (391 nucleotides) under Hevea brasiliensis (rubber tree). The record is from RNAcentral. Lineage: Eukaryota; Viridiplantae; Streptophyta; Magnoliopsida; Malpighiales; Euphorbiaceae.
AUAAAAGUCUUCCUCUUCCUCGACCUGCUAUUUCCGGCCUUGGGAUUGAUCAUGGACCCGGGAAUGGAUCUGGGUCGAGUUCGGUCUCCAGUAUUAGUUCUUCCGGGUCUUCGGAUGAUCAUCCAUCUGCUCAAGAACAGCUUCAAUUUGGAGCUUACAGAGGAUUUGUCGAUACGAGAAUCGAGACAAGGCCAAGAAGUCCAGGUCCAGGAUCAAAAGGACCCACCAGUCCUACAUCACCUCUCAAUCCACGGCUCUGUGGCAUGAGUCUGGAGUCUCCUACAACUCAUAAGCUGCCGCUUCCUCCAAGCCCUUCUUCCUUGAGCAGCACGAGAGCUAUCAAUAUCGGCGAUAAUAACGCAGCUAUACAAUCAAAGUGGAAGAAAGGAAG